Molecule: ribosomal RNA, 253 nt
Filed under: uncultured bacterium
Lineage: Bacteria
Description: partial 16S ribosomal RNA
Rfam family: Bacterial small subunit ribosomal RNA
Source: RNAcentral
UACGAAGGGGGCUAGCGUUGCUCGGAUUUACUGGGCGUAAAGCGCACGUAGGCGGGUCGUUAAGUCGGGGGUGAAAUCCCGGAGCUCAACUCCGGAACUGCCUUCGAUACUGGCGAUCUCGAGUCCGGGAGAGGUGAGUGGAAUUCCGAGUGUAGAGGUGAAAUUCGUAGAUAUUCGGAAGAACACCAGUGGCGAAGGCGGCUCACUGGCCCGGUACUGACGCUGAGGUGCGAAAGCGUGGGGAGCAAACAGG